GGGGCUGAUUCUGGAUUCGACGGGAUUUGCGAAACCCAAGGUGCAUGCCGAGGGGCGGUUGGCCUCGUAAAAAGCCGCAAAAAAAUAGUCGCAAACGACGAAACCUACGCUUUAGCAGCUUAAUAACCUGCUUAGAGCCCUCUCUCCCUAGCCUCCGCUCUUAGGACGGGGAUCAAGAGAGGUCAAACCCAAAAGAGAUCGCGUGGAUGCCCUGCCUGGGGUUGAAGCGUUAAAACGAAUCAGGCUAGUCUGGUAGUCGCGUGUCCGUCCGCAGGUGCCAGGCGAAUGUAAAGACUGACUAAGCAUGUAGUACCGAGGAUGUAGGAAUUUCGGACGCGGGUUCAACUCCCGCCAGCUCCACCA
Molecule: transfer-messenger RNA, 363 nt
Filed under: Salmonella enterica subsp. enterica serovar Enteritidis
Lineage: Bacteria; Pseudomonadati; Pseudomonadota; Gammaproteobacteria; Enterobacterales; Enterobacteriaceae
Rfam family: transfer-messenger RNA
About the family: Bacterial tmRNA, also known as 10Sa RNA or SsrA, is named for its dual tRNA and mRNA-like properties. Its role is to liberate the mRNA from a stalled ribosome.
Source: RNAcentral